This 200-nucleotide long non-coding RNA is filed under the name Elaeis guineensis (African oil palm). RNAcentral describes it as "long non-coding RNA (EGUI_LNC014224)". The record is from RNAcentral. Lineage: Eukaryota; Viridiplantae; Streptophyta; Magnoliopsida; Arecales; Arecaceae.
GAGGCCAGCUCCUUUCUUUUUUUUUCAGUACAAAAUGAAAGGGCACCCAUGCUAUACCAUGCCUUUGGAAGUGCUGGUCAUCAGACCUCCAUGUUUCAAUGCAACUCAUAGGAAACAUCCAGAAUAUGUCAACUUGGCCACGUUAGCUUACUUAAUACAUGUAGGCAUCCAAGAAUAGAAGGGCCCUAAAAUGCUGCUUA